CCUACGGGUGGCAGCAGUAGGGAAUCUUCCGCAAUGGACGAAAGUCUGACGGAGCAACGCCGCGUGAGCGAAGAAGGUCUUCGGAUCGUAAAGCUCUGUUGCUAGGGAAGAACAAGUACGGGAGGAAAUGACCGUACCUUGACGGUACCUGACGAGGAAGCCACGGCUAACUACGUGCCAGCAGCCGCGGUAAUACGUAGGUUGCAAGCGUUGUCCGGAAUUUUUGGGCGUAAAGCGCGCGCAGGCGGUCUUUUAAGUCUGAUGGUAAAACUUGCGGGUCGAGCGUAAGCGGUCAGUGGAAUCUGGGUGAAUUGAUUGAAGAAUACGAAAGUGGCAUUUCUCUUGUAGCAGUGAAAUUCGUAGACAUGUGGGGUUAGAACAGGGGCGAAUCAGACUUUCUGCUAUGUAUCUUACGUUGGCGUGCGAUAGCGUGGAGAACAAACAGGAUUAGAUACCCUUGUAGUC
RNAcentral lists this ribosomal RNA (465 nucleotides) under uncultured bacterium. RNAcentral describes it as "bacterial SSU rRNA". It matches the Rfam family "Bacterial small subunit ribosomal RNA", at positions 338 to 795 of the family's 1533-position model. The record is from RNAcentral.